UACAGAGGUCCCAAGCGUUGUUCGGAUUCAUUGGGCGUAAAGGGUGCGUAGGCGGCGCGGUAAGUCGGGUGUGAAAUCUCGGGGCUCAACCCCGAAACUGCACUUGAUACUGCGGUGCUCGAGUACUGGAGAGGAGAUUGGAAUUUACGGUGUAGCAGUGAAAUGCGUAGAUAUCGUAAGGAAGACCAGUGGCGAAGGCGAAUCUCUGGACAGUUACUGACACUGAGGCACGAAGGCCAGGGGAGCAAACGGG
This 253-nucleotide ribosomal RNA is filed under the name uncultured bacterium. RNAcentral describes it as "partial 16S ribosomal RNA". It matches the Rfam family "Bacterial small subunit ribosomal RNA", at positions 524 to 776 of the family's 1533-position model. The record is from RNAcentral.